AGAAAUAGCGGGUAAUACCGAAUAGACUUAUAGCUGAGAAAGAAGUGAUAAGGAAAGGAAGCUAAGGCUUCGCUUAAGGAUGAGCCUGCGUCCCAUUAGCUAGUUGGUAAGGUAACGGCCUACCAAGGCGACGAUGGGUAUCCGGCCUGAGAGGGUGAACGGACACAUUGGGACUGAGAUACGGCCCAAACUCCUACGGGAGGCAGCAGCUAGGAAUAUUCCGCAAUGGACGGAAGUCUGACGGAGCGACGCCGCGUGGAUGAAGAAGGCUGAAAAGUUGUAAAAUUCUUUUGCUGACGAAGAAUAAAGAUAAGAGGGAAUGCUUAUCAGAUGACGGUAGUCGGCGAAUAAGCCCCG
RNAcentral lists this ribosomal RNA (357 nucleotides) under Treponema sp. oral taxon 232. RNAcentral's name for it is "bacterial SSU rRNA". It matches the Rfam family "Bacterial small subunit ribosomal RNA", at positions 152 to 495 of the family's 1533-position model. Lineage: Bacteria; Pseudomonadati; Spirochaetota; Spirochaetia; Treponematales; Treponemataceae. The record is from RNAcentral.